AAAUUAUUAGCAAAUUAAAAAACGGUAUCAUUUAAGGGCUCUAUUUCUUGAAUCUUAUCUUCUAAGGAUUGAUUGAGAAAGAAGAAAGCAGCAGCAGCAGAAGCAGCAAAACUCUCUAAGAAAUUCUCGUCUGCCCACCCUCUAAACAACCCUCAAGAUCCAAUUGUCCAAUCCCAGAAUUAUUCUGCAUUGAUUAGCCGGUUUUAGCUAUGAAGCUGAGAUUGAGGUCUGUGCAAUCUAAAGAAACUGUGAAAAUACAAGUGCCGGAUUCUUGUACUUUGCAGCAACUAAAAGAAACACUUUCUCGAGCAAUAUCUUCAUCUGGCUCGUCUCUUUAUUUGUCUCUUAAUAGAAAGGAUGAGCUCAAUACCUCAUUGCCUGAGGAUUCUUUGCAAUCACUCGGUAUUACGUCUGGUGACCUUAUCUAUUUCUCUGUCAAUCCCAAAGAUUUCUCAUCCUCAGGUCAACCCCUAUGUUUAGGUUCUAGUUCCUCUAUACAAGAACAGGUUCAAGGUCAUCGGGGUAAUGUACAAGAGCCUAUGCCAGAUCAAUCGAUGAGUUUUCAAGAGUCUAAAUGUUCGGAUUUGAAUAUGCUCGAGAAUCAAGAUUUGUUCGUACAAGGGCAUGUUGGUGUUCAGGCUAAUGAUACCAAUUCUCGAGAAACCAUAUCUGAAAUCUCUCCACAGAUGCACUUGCUAGGACAGAAGCAUGAGAUUGCAGAAUCAGAUAUGAAUGGUGCAGUUACUGAAGGACAUGGAGCUCUGGGUUCAAAAACUCGGAUCAGAGAAACCUUAGAGACCCAAGAAUUGACCAGUGUAGAAGCUAUGGAUGUUGAUCCUGGAUCUGUAGAUGUGGGCAAUAAGAGGUUCUCUGAACCGUAUUUCUUGAGGAGGCUAUUGAGGAAAGAAUUGGGUGAUGAUGGUAGCAACUACAAGCUCUUGGUUAUUGCUGUUCACGCUGUUUUUAUAGAAUCUGGUUUUGUUGGGUUCAAUUCUAUAUCUGGGAUGCGAGUUGAUGGAUUUCACCUUCCAGAAGAGCAGUCAUCUAGGAAUUUGGCAGUGUCACUUUGUUACACUCUUCCUGAACUUUUGGACAGUAAAGUUAUUGCUGAAACAAUUGUUUUGAAGCUCCAAAGUUUAGGCCAUUUUGUUAAUGUCUAUGGGAGUUUGUCCAAGGGUGGAUCAGGGCUGUAUCACGCAUGUCUGGAUAUAAAUAAAUUUGUGCCAGCUAUAGAUUUUGUGUGGGAAAAUGAUAAGAAUGAUGGGAUGAAUGGAAGUGAUAGGUCUUCCAUUUUGUAUCCUGAAAAUGAAAUUUUUGAGUUCUGGAAAAUUGUGAAGGAUGGUCUUGCUUUGCCAUUGUUGAUAGAUAUUUGUGAGAAGGCUGGCCUGGUUCUUCCUUCAUGCUUGAUGCGCCUCCCAACAGAGCUGAAGCUCAAGAUUUUUGAGUUGUUACCUGCUAUUGAUGUUGCAAAAAUGGAAUGUGUUUGUUCAGAAAUGCGUUACUUGUCUUCGAACAAUGAUUUAUGGAAGCAGAAAUUUGUGGAGGAGUUUGGAGAUGGGACAGCAGCACAUGGAACUCUCAAUUGGAAGGCGAGGUUUGCUUCAUAUUGGGAGAAUAAGAAGCGGAAGAGGGAUUUCAAUGCAUGGCGGGAGUCUCGGCAAUUUCUGCCCUUUCAUGUCCCGAUCAGGAGGGACCCUAAUCCAUUAUGGUGUCCUUCAAUUAUAGGUGGUGAUUAUGACCGUCUGCCAGGGCUUGGUAUUCCUCCUUAUCGGCGUCCUGGUCUAGGAUGGCCCCAACCUCGUCAUAAUUUUUCACCCAAUUGUAACCUGGGGGGAUUCAGUUCCUAGUCUGGGCCUUGAAGGCUUGCUCGAUGACGGUGGAAUGCAAUAGAGGCUUUUAUGGCUUCAUAGGCCUCAGAGGGCAUCCGAGGAUUAAAGAUGCGGCGGCAGCUGCAGCUUGUAGGAGAAUCACAGUGGAUGUGCCGGGCAACGUCAAGCAAGGCGUGCUUGAAUCUCCUGUCGGAUCAAGUUCAUCCGAAAUCAUAGAAGCUGAAGGUGAAUUCUGUUGUGUUUGCUUGUCGCGAUUGAAGGCAGAUGAGGACACGAGUGCUUUACCUUGCUUGCACAGGUUUCAUAAGGUAUGCAUAGAAGGAUGGUUUAAUAAUGUGUGUCGAAGAACUUGUCCGCUGUGCCGGUCGUCCAUGGGGGGAGAAGAGAGGUCUCAUAAGAGAGAGGAACAGUUCACUGAAGAGAUGGUAAUAUGGUUUUCUUCUUUUCAUGUAGCUGGUUUUUGAGUUUCAAGUUUCUGCACAUUUUGACACCUUGCAAUUAAAAAAAAAAAAAACUAUUUUUAAGUAGGUCGAAGCUCAUAAAGAGAAUUGCCUUCCACACAAGUGGGAGAAAAAAAUUUCAAUAACUCCGUUGCUAGAAUCCAACCCAGGCCUCCUGGGUCUGGGUGAAAGCCAGACAAAUGGCCGCUGGACGACAACGGAGCUGUUUCAUGUUGAUGGCUGCAACAUAGUACUAACUACGCCUGGUACCUCGCUUUGCUUUGUACCAAUCAAAAGUCAAUUAUUGUAUAAAAGAAAUAUGUGAGCAUUGUUAUUUUUUUUCUUGCUUGUAAUAAAAUAUUUGAAAUGAGGAUAAAAAAAUUAUUUAGUGUA
Molecule: RNA transcript, 2662 nt
Organism: Populus nigra (black poplar)
Lineage: Eukaryota; Viridiplantae; Streptophyta; Magnoliopsida; Malpighiales; Salicaceae
Gene name: F-box protein SKIP22-like
Exons: 3
Source: RefSeq, a predicted model, not a curated record